GCACUUUGUGCUCAUCUCCAGAGCUUUUCUCUUCUCCUAAAGUGGGUUUUAAUGCUCUGCCAUUCCAAGCACCUGUGCAGACAAGAAAUGCCUGGAUAGUGGAUUGGUUUCAAGAAACUUCAGUUCUUUCAAUCUGCUUUGGAUGGUGAGAGAAUUCCUGGAAAUAUCAGGUCCUGGUGGAACUGAGGAGCAUUUCGUCAGCCUUUUUCCCUGAACUGGGUUGAGUGCAGCUCGGAGAACACUUGGUCCUGAGGGCACUGACGCUUUUUUCAGAAAACAAACGAGCUUUGUUGUGA
RNAcentral lists this long non-coding RNA (296 nucleotides) under Gallus gallus (chicken). The record is from RNAcentral. Lineage: Eukaryota; Metazoa; Chordata; Aves; Galliformes; Phasianidae.